Molecule: long non-coding RNA, 1938 nt
Filed under: Homo sapiens (human)
Lineage: Eukaryota; Metazoa; Chordata; Mammalia; Primates; Hominidae
Description: HSALNT0126834
Source: RNAcentral
GGAUGAAGCUGCCCGGCGCCAUUUUGCUUGUGGGCUGCCGCCCGCCGUUGCCUCUCCGCGGAGGCUCGAAGAUAGCAAACUGGAGGCGGUGAGGGGGACGGAAUCUCUGUCUUUCUGACAACAGAUGCAUUCAACAAUCCACCGAAGGUUUGAGGAAGUGUCGGUAUUCGGUGGGACUGGUUCUUUCCCCCUUUCCCCCAGUGGCCCUCAAGUCUGGAUAUAGGUGAGCUUGGGCAUGCCAGUAUUGGGUGCACGAACAAGGACAGCAGGGCUUGGGAACGAACUCCCUCCCGUCACCCUCCGAAAGCGAUACACCUUCUCCCCCUCCCAAACAACCCCAGUCCCGUCUCCCCGUUCCUCUCCCCCUCCUCCCCCAGCCCAGUCUGGCCUCCAGCGCUGGGUGAACCCGGUUGGGGUGUCACUCGACGCCCACUAGGGGCUGAGGAGGCUCCAGUGCGCAGGCUCCGGGCACCGGAUAAAAGCGGAGCUGGCGAGUCUAGUGCUGUCUCGAUGGAGGAGCAAGAAACGGAAGAGGUCGGGGGGAGAAGCAGCCGGAAAAAUGCAGCCACCGUCAACGCCGCCUCCCUGCCACCGUGCUUCGGGGUAAAAAGCUGCCGUUGCCGUCGGUGCAGUUGCCGUCGCUGCCUCCUAUACUUCUCUUGGCCUCGGGGAAGGAUUUCCCCACCGGUGGGACAAUGUGCGGGGAGGGGAGUGGGAAUUCCUUUAUAUGGCGGUGAUUAAACGAGGGAGGGACAGACAGUGAUCUCGAAGAAAAAAGGGGGAGACCAAAGAAUAAAAGAAGGGUUUCCCCACUAAAAUGACACGGCGAUUCCGGCUCUUGUUUUGGGGGUCUUUCCCCGAAAUGGUUUCCGUCUUCCCCUUGCCCCGCAGCGACCCAGAGCGCUGGGGGAAGCGGAGUGGGGAGAGGCAGAGGCGGUCUCGGCAGCCAAUCAGCGCCUGAUGUGUCCUGUCGGGCGCGUCGUGGUUGGCUGGCGAUGACCUCAUCCUGCAGCAGCGGGUGGGGCCAAAGCCGUAGGGGGAGGCUGUUGCAAAGGUAGAGAGGGAGAAGUGACGAUGGUGAUCGUUGCUGCCGCGGCCGAUAUGGAACCCAAGCAGUGGCGAAGGGAAUCGCAAGGCUCUUCCCUGACCAUUUUCUACUGUCCCUGCGCGAGGUGGACGCAAAGGUGUUAAAUGAGGUUGAAUAUAUUGACCAGAAAAGAAAAUAUUAUAGUCCUUUGUUGAAGAAGAGUUUUCUCAUACUGGAAAGAAAAAAAAUAAAAGAAAGAAACUUCAAAAACUUCAUGCUGCUUUCUGAAGUACUCCAGCCAAAGAAAAUAAUUCAGGUAUCAAGUUGGACUAGCUCAGAUGACUACAAAAUGGUUCAAGCGAUUCUCCUGCCUCAGCCUCCUGAGUAUCUGGGACUACAGAUAUGAGCCACCACGCCCGGCUAAUUUUUGUAUUUUUAGUAGAGACGGGGUUUCACGCCAUGUUGGGCAGGAUGGUCUCAAUCUCUUGAACUUGUGAUCUGCCUGCCUCAGCCUCCCAAAGUGCUGGGAUUCCAGGUGUGAGCUGACUAGUGUCUUUAUAAGAAGAGAUGAGGACACAUACGUGCACAGAGAGAAGACCACGUAAAGACACAGAGAGAAGGCAGUCAUCUACAUACCGAGAAGAUGGGUAUCAGAAGAAACCAACUCUGCCACACCUUGACCUUGGACAUCAAACCUCGGGAACUGUGCAGAAGCCAGUUUCUGUUGUUUAAGCCACCAAGUGUGUGGUGCUUCUUAUGGCAGCCCCAGCAAACUAAUAUACUGUUUCCAUUCAUCUUUAGGCUAUAUUACAGUACAGAUCGCUUACUGUAUUUUAAAGUCACUUAAAAUAAUUCAUCUCUGUAAAAUUAAAUCACUAAUUCAAUACACAGUUAAAAUUAUUUGUUUCAAU